This 303-nucleotide ribosomal RNA is filed under the name uncultured bacterium. RNAcentral describes it as "partial 16S ribosomal RNA". It matches the Rfam family "Bacterial small subunit ribosomal RNA", at positions 507 to 809 of the family's 1533-position model. The record is from RNAcentral.
AGCAGCAGCCACGGUAAUCCGAAGGGGGCUAGCGUUGUUCGGAAUUACUGGGCGUAAAGGGCGCGUAGGCGGCCAUUCAAGUUAGAUGUGAAAGCCCUGGGCUCAACCUAGGAAUUGCAUUUGAUACUGUUUGGCUUGAGUUCGGGAGAGGUGAGUGGAAUUCUCAGUGUAGAGGUGAAAUGCGUAGAUAUCGGAAGGAACACCUGUGGCGAAAGCGGCUCACUGGACAAUAACUGACGCUGAUGCACGAAAGCUAGGGGAGCAAACAGGAUUAGAUACCCCCGUAGUCCCUGUCUCUUAUAA